RNAcentral lists this ribosomal RNA (465 nucleotides) under uncultured bacterium. RNAcentral describes it as "partial 16S ribosomal RNA". It matches the Rfam family "Bacterial small subunit ribosomal RNA", at positions 28 to 507 of the family's 1533-position model. The record is from RNAcentral.
GACGAACGCUGGCGGCGUGCUUAACACAUGCAAGUCGAACGGAAAGGCCCUGCUUGCAGGGUACUCGAGUGGCGAACGGGUGAGUAACACGUGGGUGAUCUGCCCUGCACUUCGGGAUAAGCCUGGGAAACUGGGUCUAAUACCGGAUAGGAGCCAUUUUUAGUGUGAUGGUUGGAAAGUUUUUUCGGUGUAGGAUGAGCUCGCGGCCUAUCAGCUUGUUGGUGGGGUAAUGGCCUACCAAGGCGGCGACGGGUAGCCGGCCUGAGAGGGUGGACGGCCACAUUGGGACUGAGAUACGGCCCAGACUCCUACGGGAGGCAGCAGUGGGGAAGAUUGCACAAGGGGCGCAAGCCUGAUGCAGCGACGCCGCGGGGGGGAUGACGGCCUUAGGGUUGUAAACUCCUUUCGCUAGGGACGAAGCUUUUUGUGACGGUACCUAGAUAAGAAGCACCGGCUAACUACGUG